GAUGAACGCUGGCGGCGUGCCUAAUACAUGCAAGUCGAGCGAACGGACGAGAAGCUUGCUUCUCUGAUGUUAGCGGCGGACGGGUGAGUAACACGUGGAUAACCUACCUAUAAGACUGGGAUAACUUCGGGAAACCGGAGCUAAUACCGGAUAAUAUUUUGAACCGCAUGGUUCAAAAGUGAAAGACGGUCUUGCUGUCACUUAUAGAUGGAUCCGCGCUGCAUUAGCUAGUUGGUAAGGUAACGGCUUACCAAGGCAACGAUGCAUAGCCGACCUGAGGGGGUGAUCGGCCACACUGGAACUGAGACACGGUCCAGACUCCUACGGGAGGCAGCAGUAGGGAAUCUUCCGCAAUGGGCGAAAGCCUGACGGAGCAACGCCGCGUGAGUGAUGAAGGUCUACGGAUCGUAAAACUCUGUUAUUAGGGAAGAACAUAUGUGUAAGUAACUGUGCACAUCUUGACGGUACCUAAUCAGAAAGCCACGGCUAACUACGUG
Molecule: ribosomal RNA, 497 nt
Filed under: uncultured bacterium
Lineage: Bacteria
Description: partial 16S ribosomal RNA
Rfam family: Bacterial small subunit ribosomal RNA
Source: RNAcentral